AUUCAGAAACUAUAAACCGGCUCUCUUCUAGCUUACGACACAAACUAUGAGUGAGAAAAGGACAAAUGAUUCGCUCUUUGCUUCAUUUUUUCCGAGGUUGUCACAACAUGAAAUGUCAUUUGGACCUAUUGGACUCAUUUUAACUCGGCCAAAUACAUAGUAACAUACAUAAGAAGAUUUUACUUAUAUUUACCGAACUAUUUGACACGGUCGCGUCAACUGUGUUUACGAGUGUCUUGUGUUCAGAUUGUUUUAAGUGAUAAUUUAACAAUAUUUUUCCAAAUAAAUGGAAAGAAACUUUUAUUUAUAUCAAAUAAUUGAGUGUCUCGACUGUGUGACAUUAUGUCUUGUGUGGUAUGGGGCUGCAGCUCACAUUCAGGAAGAAAAGAAAAUAGCCAACAACUUCUGUCGUUUCAUCGAUAUUAAAUCCAAAAGUGUCGACUGGAUUUACAUGAAAAGUCAGUUCAAGAAGACGAGAUGAAAAAUUUAAAAGAAAAGCUGAACAAGUCCCGCCUCAAGAUCAAACGACUUAAUGAAAAAAAAAACAAUGUGACAGGGUGUCACAAAGACAGUUUCUAAGCAAAUUGACACUGUUUAGAAAUUAAUAAAUUUGUA
This is a long non-coding RNA of Pectinophora gossypiella (pink bollworm), 615 nucleotides long. RefSeq lists it as uncharacterized. The record is from RefSeq and is a predicted model, not a curated record. Lineage: Eukaryota; Metazoa; Arthropoda; Insecta; Lepidoptera; Gelechiidae. The transcript has 3 exons.